Molecule: ribosomal RNA, 1854 nt
Filed under: Triticum aestivum (bread wheat)
Lineage: Eukaryota; Viridiplantae; Streptophyta; Magnoliopsida; Poales; Poaceae
Description: partial small subunit ribosomal RNA
Source: RNAcentral
AUGACGGAGGAGCGCAUUUCCAGGGCCUCAGACGAGCCCCCCACCGCGACCAAGCAGAGGAAGAAGAGGAAGUGGGAUCAGCCCGCAGAGGACUUGGUCGCCGCGGCUGCGGCUGCUGCUGCUGCUGCGGGACUGCCCGUGUUGAACGUCGCAGCUCUGGCCGGCGUUCAAUUCCCUGGCACUACUGCGUAUCCUGCCGCCCCUUAUGCUUUGCCGCCGCAGCUCGCUCCAUCGGUGCUUCAGAGUGCUGCUGCUGCGAUUCAGAAAUUAAGUCAGGCAAAACUACCGGAUGAGCUUAUAGCACGAGAAGUUGUUAUAAAUGACGCUGAUCCAUCUGUGCGAUAUAAGCUCACGAAGCGGCAAACACAGGACGAGAUUCAACGAUGCACAUGCACUGUCAUCAUUACAAGGGGAAAAUACCAUCCUCCUAAUGGACAGCCUGAUGGCGAGAAGCCACUCUAUCUACAUAUCUCUGCAGGAUCUCAGCUAAAAGAUACCGCUGAGCGCAUUAAAGCAGUUGAUCUUGCAGCCUCAAUGAUCGAGGACAUCUUGAAACAUGGCCAAAUGCCAGAAGCCACAUCAGCCAAUUUCCCUUCUAUCCAGAGCAACAGACAGGCUGUUCCUUUUAGCGCCUCAAUCUUUUUGGGUUUUGACGCAGAUCCAUCAUUGAACGUUGCAGCUCGCAUCCGUGGACCAAAUGAUCAGUACAUAAAUCACAUUAUGAAUGAAACAGGGGUCACUGUUGUACUAAGAGGAAAAGAUUCAGGGAACCUUGGCAAUUGUCAUGCUGAAGCAUCACAGCAACCUCUGCACAUGCACCUAUCAGGUGUGCAUUUGAAGAGCCUAGAAGCUGCAAAGGUUUUAGCAGAAAACCUUCUAGAUACAAUAGCAGCGGAACUUGGCGCUUCCAGAAUUUCUUCUUCAAAAGUAUAUGGUGCUGUUCCACCUCCUCAGCAACUGUUGACUGGUGUGCACACCUCGGGAACAUCAGACAUGUGUGUGUCAACUGGAGCAUCACAUUCCUUUGCCCCUACUGGAGUUACUUCUCCCAUAGCUGCCCCUUCAGUGACACUUCAAUCUGGGGCGCCAACUUAUUCCGGGAUUCUCCCACCCAGUAACCUGAUCUAUCCUAGUCAAGCAGCAAAUCAUGGGGCUUUUUACAAUGGCUAUGGAGACAUCUAUCCCCAGGCAACUCCAUUGCAGCAGGUGGCAUUAACACUCAAGCAUGCUUCAUCUUCGACAACUCAGGUUAUUCCAGUGGCAUCCACAUCAGCAAGCAUGACGACAAGUGUGAACACAAGUACAAAGUUGGAGGCAGAUAAACGCUCACAGAGGAGGAAAUUCCAGGAACUGCCAACAGCAGAUCUUCAGGUAUUUUCUCCGACCAUGUCUGAAGCUCGCAGGGUGAACUCACAACAGGGGUCCAAAUUUGUUAAGACAGGUUUAGAUGAUCUAGGUAAAAUGAACAGUUCAUCGGUUGCAGCUACAAUGAAAGUUCAGCCUGGAUCAAAUAGGAUACUUCCACAAGAUCCACAUCCAUCUCAUCCAUCUGUAUACACUAGCAUGCCGCCACCACCACCACCCAAGAACAUGUCACUGCCAUAUCCCAAUAGCAUGCCACCGCCACCGCCCAGGAGCAUGCCUCCGCCACCACCUAAGUUCCCUUCAAAUGAAGUGUUAAGAAAUGAGAACAGGCAUUCAGCUGUAAAGGAGCUGCUGGCGCCUCCGAGAUCGAGUUCUGCUGCACCACCUCCGAAGGAGCCUAAAGAGGAAAAGCCAAGCAGUGCAUCUGUUUCCGAUACUCUGCUGAAGCUUAUGGACUACGGGGAUGAUGAUGAAGAGGACGACGACUAG